This is a long non-coding RNA of Mauremys reevesii (Reeves's turtle), 565 nucleotides long. RefSeq lists it as uncharacterized. The transcript has 3 exons. The record is from RefSeq and is a predicted model, not a curated record. NCBI's taxonomy places the organism in Eukaryota, Metazoa, Chordata, Testudines, Geoemydidae.
GCUCUCAUUAGAAAGGUCAGAGACAGGGCUUGCCCUGUAAACAUGUAAGACUGUAAUGUGCUAAUGAGAAAAUGUGUGAGUGAGUAUAUGUUGCUGAUUAAACCAUUAGCUAUUUUUCAGAAAUGACAAUGGCCACAACUGAAGGAAUUGCUGCUUUGCUUUAGUUUAAAACCCCUCAACCAAGAGAUCCUGUCUUGACAGUGAAAUCUGGUGUAGAAUGAGACAAAGUCCUGAGGCACCUUAUAGACUAACAGAAGUAUUCUUGCCUGCAUAUUGAUACCUGCCUCUGGAAAUUUCCACCACAUGCGUCUGAUGAAAACUCAUGAAAAGUACACAGAACUGGUUUAUUCUUUCCAAUUGAAAUAUGGGUCCAGGACUGCGUGGAAUAAGAUGAGAACUGGGUGAAGGACACUUAAGAGGUGAGCUGGGAGAAGCCAGCUUGGGUAGUGACCAGUUACAGCUGGACUUGAGGGGUUGAAUUUUGAAGCUACCUGGCCAUGGAAGACCCAGACACCAUGACCAACAGGAGGGAGACUAAGGGAAGGCUCCAACCACAAGAGGGUUU